AGAGUUUGAUCCUGGCUCAGAUUGAACGCUGGCGGCAGGCUUAACACAUGCAAGUCGAGCGGGGAGAUGUAGCUUGCUACAUUUCCUAGCGGCGGACGGGUGAGUAAUGCUUAGGAAUCUGCCUAUUAGUGGGGGACAACAUUCCGAAAGGAUUGCUAAUACCGCAUACGCCCUACGGGGGAAAGCAGGGGAUCUUCGGACCUUGCGCUAAUAGAUGAGCCUAAGUCAGAUUAGCUAGUUGGUGGGGUAAAGGCCUACCAAGGCGACGAUCUGUAGCGGGUCUGAGAGGAUGAUCCGCCACACUGGGACUGAGACACGGCCCAGACUCCUACGGGAGGCAGCAGUGGGGAAUAUUGGACAAUGGGCGAAAGCCUGAUCCAGCCAUGCCGCGUGUGUGAAGAAGGCCUUUUGGUUGUAAAGCACUUUAAGCGAGGAGGAGGCUACUUAGAUUAAUACUCUAGGAUAGUGGACGUUACUCGCAGAAUAAGCACCGGCUAACUCUGUGCCAGCAGCCGCGGUAAUACAGAGGGUGCGAGCGUUAAUCGGAUUUACUGGGCGUAAAGCGUGCGUAGGCGGCUUUUUAAGUCGGAUGUGAAAUCCCUGAGCUUAACUUAGGAAUUGCAUUCGAUACUGGGAAGCUAGAGUAUGGGAGAGGAUGGUAGAAUUCCAGGUGUAGCGGUGAAAUGCGUAGAGAUCUGGAGGAAUACCGAUGGCGAAGGCAGCCAUCUGGCCUAAUACUGACGCU
RNAcentral lists this ribosomal RNA (745 nucleotides) under uncultured bacterium. Its description in RNAcentral is "bacterial SSU rRNA". It matches the Rfam family "Bacterial small subunit ribosomal RNA", at positions 8 to 747 of the family's 1533-position model. The record is from RNAcentral.